GACGAACGCUGGCGGCGUGCUUAACACAUGCAAGUCGAACGGAAAGGCCCUGCUUUUGUGGGGUGCUCGAGUGGCGAACGGGUGAGUAACACGUGAGUAACCUGCCCUUGACUUUGGGAUAACUUCAGGAAACUGGGGCUAAUACCGGAUAGGAGCUCCUGCUGCAUGGUGGUGGUUGGAAAGUUUCGGCGGUUGGGGAUGGACUCGCGGCUUAUCAGCUUGUUGGUGGGGUAGUGGCUUACCAAGGCUUGGACGGGUAGCCGGCCUGAGAGGGUGACCGGCCACAUUGGGACUGAGAUACGGCCCAGACUCCUACGGGAGGCAGCAGUGGGGAAUAUUGCACAAUGGGCGGAAGCCUGAUGCAGCAACGCCGCGUGCGGGAUGACGGCCUUCGGGUUGUAAACCGCUUUCGCCUGUGACGAAGCGUGAGUGACGGUAAUGGGUAAAGAAGCACCGGCUAACUACGUG
RNAcentral lists this ribosomal RNA (468 nucleotides) under uncultured bacterium. Its description in RNAcentral is "partial 16S ribosomal RNA". It matches the Rfam family "Bacterial small subunit ribosomal RNA", at positions 28 to 507 of the family's 1533-position model. The record is from RNAcentral.